GGAUCUUCUUCCCCACCCCACUCCCUCAAUUUAAACCAACAAUUAUAUAGCUCAAUGUUAUUCAACAAUUUUUCCUGAUUUUUGCAAUUAUUUCAUUCAAAGAAUUUCUUUAUAUACUUUAUUUUAUCCAUUGGAAGAAAUGAGUUCUAACAAUUCCGCAGUUGGGUACUAGGAAAAUAACUAAGAAGAAGAUGUGAGUUGUUCACCGGCCACUUCGAUUCAAUCUUCAUCUGCCGCUUCAUCCAACUUGGAGGUUAUGUUCAUCAAAUUCACAACCCAAUCUCCCUCACGGUGGUUGGUCCCCAAUACCCCAAUCCUUAAGCAUUGGAUCUGAUUAGGGAGUAGUUCGAUUGUGAGCUUGAAGCUUCUAGCAAAUUGGAACGACAAGUACAACAUUCCCAACUUGGUGGAGGCUUUUUUUCCAAGAGCAUAUGCUAGGGCCUGCGACCCUCCUGAAAGGUGUCUAACCC
RNAcentral lists this long non-coding RNA (470 nucleotides) under Olea europaea subsp. europaea. Lineage: Eukaryota; Viridiplantae; Streptophyta; Magnoliopsida; Lamiales; Oleaceae. The record is from RNAcentral.